Molecule: ribosomal RNA, 220 nt
Filed under: uncultured archaeon
Lineage: Archaea
Description: partial 16S ribosomal RNA
Rfam family: Archaeal small subunit ribosomal RNA
Source: RNAcentral
UACCGGGCCAUACGGGGCGCAGCAGGCGCGAAACCUUUACACUGCACGAAAGUGCGAUAAGGGGACUCCAAGUGCGAGGGCAUAUAGUCCUCGCUUUUCACCACCGUAAGGUGGUAGUAGAAUAAGUGCUGGGCAAGACCGGUGCCAGCCGCCGCGGUAAUACCGGCAGCACGAGUGAUGACCGCUCUUAUUGGGCCUAAAGCGUCCGUAGCUACUUUCC